This 2898-nucleotide ribosomal RNA is filed under the name Klebsiella pneumoniae. RNAcentral's name for it is "bacterial LSU rRNA". It matches the Rfam family "Bacterial large subunit ribosomal RNA". The record is from RNAcentral. Lineage: Bacteria; Pseudomonadati; Pseudomonadota; Gammaproteobacteria; Enterobacterales; Enterobacteriaceae.
UAAGCGACUAAGCGUACACGGUGGAUGCCCUGGCAGUCAGAGGCGAUGAAGGACGUGCUAAUCUGCGAAAAGCGUCGGUAAGGUGAUAUGAACCGUUACAGCCGGCGAUGUCCGAAUGGGGAAACCCAGUGCAAUUCGUUGCACUAUCGUUAACUGAAUACAUAGGUUAACGAGGCGAACCGGGGGAACUGAAACAUCUAAGUACCCCGAGGAAAAGAAAUCAACCGAGAUUCCCCCAGUAGCGGCGAGCGAACGGGGAGCAGCCCAGAGUCUGAAUCAGCUUGUGUGUUAGUGGAACGGUCUGGAAAGUCCGACGGUACAGGGUGAUAGUCCCGUACACCAAAAUGCACAGGCUGUGAACUCGAAGAGUAGGGCGGGACACGUGGUAUCCUGUCUGAAUAUGGGGGGACCAUCCUCCAAGGCUAAAUACUCCUGACUGACCGAUAGUGAACCAGUACCGUGAGGGAAAGGCGAAAAGAACCCCGGCGAGGGGAGUGAAAAAGAACCUGAAACCGUGUACGUACAAGCAGUGGGAGCACCUUCGGGUGUGACUGCGUACCUUUUGUAUAAUGGGUCAGCGACUUAUAUUCUGUAGCAAGGUUAACCGUAUAGGGGAGCCGCAGGGAAACCGAGUCUUAACUGGGCGUUAAGUUGCAGGGUAUAGACCCGAAACCCGGUGAUCUAGCCAUGGGCAGGUUGAAGGUUGGGUAACACUAACUGGAGGACCGAACCGACUAAUGUUGAAAAAUUAGCGGAUGACUUGUGGCUGGGGGUGAAAGGCCAAUCAAACCGGGAGAUAGCUGGUUCUCCCCGAAAGCUAUUUAGGUAGCGCCUCGUGAACUCAUCUUCGGGGGUAGAGCACUGUUUCGGCUAGGGGGUCAUCCCGACUUACCAACCCGAUGCAAACUACGAAUACCGAAGAAUGUUAUCACGGGAGACACACGGCGGGUGCUAACGUCCGUCGUGAAGAGGGAAACAACCCAGACCGCCAGCUAAGGUCCCAAAGUCAUGGUUAAGUGGGAAACGAUGUGGGAAGGCACAGACAGCCAGGAUGUUGGCUUAGAAGCAGCCAUCAUUUAAAGAAAGCGUAAUAGCUCACUGGUCGAGUCGGCCUGCGCGGAAGAUGUAACGGGGCUAAACCAUGCACCGAAGCUGCGGCAGCGACACUAUGUGUUGUUGGGUAGGGGAGCGUUCUGUAAGCCUGCGAAGGUGUGCUGUGAGGCAUGCUGGAGGUAUCAGAAGUGCGAAUGCUGACAUAAGUAACGAUAAAGCGGGUGAAAAGCCCGCUCGCCGGAAGACCAAGGGUUCCUGUCCAACGUUAAUCGGGGCAGGGUGAGUCGACCCCUAAGGCGAGGCCGAAAGGCGUAGUCGAUGGGAAACAGGUUAAUAUUCCUGUACUUGGUGUUACUGCGAAGGGGGGACGGAGAAGGCUAUGUUAGCCGGGCGACGGUUGUCCCGGUUUAAGCAUGUAGGCUGAUUGUCCAGGCAAAUCCGGAUAAUCAAGGCUGAGGUGUGAUGACGAGGCACUACGGUGCUGAAGUAACAAAUGCCCUGCUUCCAGGAAAAGCCUCUAAGCAUCAGGUAACAUCAAAUCGUACCCCAAACCGACACAGGUGGUCAGGUAGAGAAUACCAAGGCGCUUGAGAGAACUCGGGUGAAGGAACUAGGCAAAAUGGUGCCGUAACUUCGGGAGAAGGCACGCUGGUGUGUAGGUGAAGUCCCUGCGGAUGGAGCUGAGACCAGUCGAAGAUACCAGCUGGCUGCAACUGUUUAUUAAAAACACAGCACUGUGCAAACACGAAAGUGGACGUAUACGGUGUGACGCCUGCCCGGUGCCGGAAGGUUAAUUGAUGGGGUUAUCCGUAAGGAGAAGCUCUUGAUCGAAGCCCCGGUAAACGGCGGCCGUAACUAUAACGGUCCUAAGGUAGCGAAAUUCCUUGUCGGGUAAGUUCCGACCUGCACGAAUGGCGUAAUGAUGGCCAGGCUGUCUCCACCCGAGACUCAGUGAAAUUGAACUCGCUGUGAAGAUGCAGUGUACCCGCGGCAAGACGGAAAGACCCCGUGAACCUUUACUAUAGCUUGACACUGAACAUUGAGCCUUGAUGUGUAGGAUAGGUGGGAGGCUUUGAAGCGUGGACGCCAGUCUGCGUGGAGCCAACCUUGAAAUACCACCCUUUAAUGUUUGAUGUUCUAACGUUGGCCCCUGACCGGGGUUGCGGACAGUGUCUGGUGGGUAGUUUGACUGGGGCGGUCUCCUCCCAAAGCGUAACGGAGGAGCACGAAGGUUAGCUAAUCCUGGUCGGACAUCAGGAGGUUAGUGCAAUGGCAUAAGCUAGCUUGACUGCGAGCGUGACGGCGCGAGCAGGUGCGAAAGCAGGUCAUAGUGAUCCGGUGGUUCUGAAUGGAAGGGCCAUCGCUCAACGGAUAAAAGGUACUCCGGGGAUAACAGGCUGAUACCGCCCAAGAGUUCAUAUCGACGGCGGUGUUUGGCACCUCGAUGUCGGCUCAUCACAUCCUGGGGCUGAAGUAGGUCCCAAGGGUAUGGCUGUUCGCCAUUUAAAGUGGUACGCGAGCUGGGUUUAGAACGUCGUGAGACAGUUCGGUCCCUAUCUGCCGUGGGCGCUGGAGAAUUGAGGGGGGCUGCUCCUAGUACGAGAGGACCGGAGUGGACGCAUCACUGGUGUUCGGGUUGUCAUGCCAAUGGCACUGCCCGGUAGCUAAAUGCGGAAGAGAUAAGUGCUGAAAGCAUCUAAGCACGAAACUUGCCCCGAGAUGAGUUCUCCCUGAGACUAUAAGUCUCCUGAAGGAACGUUGAAGACGACGACGUUGAUAGGCCGGGUGUGUAAGCGCAGCGAUGCGUUGAGCUAACCGGUACUAAUGAACCGUGAGGCUUAACCU